UGAUACGUUAAAAAAAAAAAAAAGCUUGAUGGUGCCCAUCUUGUAUGAGCCAGGAACAAAGCAACCCCUUCCUUAUCCCAGCUUGGCUUUCAGUCUAUGCCCAUGCCUGGUUUAUGCUUUGGACAUGUAG
Callithrix jacchus (white-tufted-ear marmoset) is the source of this 130-nucleotide small nucleolar RNA. The record is from Ensembl. NCBI's taxonomy places the organism in Eukaryota, Metazoa, Chordata, Mammalia, Primates, Cebidae.